UACGGAGGGUGCAAGCGUUAUCCGGAUUCACUGGGUUUAAAGGGUGCGUAGGUGGGUUAGUAAGUCAGUGGUGAAAUCCCCGAGCUUAACUUGGGAACUGCCAUUGAUACUAUUAAUCUUGAAUACCGUGGAGGUCAGCGGAAUAUGUCAUGUAGCGGUGAAAUGCUUAGAUAUGACAUAGAACACCAAUUGCGAAGGCAGCUGGCUACGCGAAUAUUGACACUGAGGCACGAAAGCGUGGGGAUCAAACAGG
This 253-nucleotide ribosomal RNA is filed under the name uncultured bacterium. RNAcentral describes it as "partial 16S ribosomal RNA". It matches the Rfam family "Bacterial small subunit ribosomal RNA", at positions 524 to 776 of the family's 1533-position model. The record is from RNAcentral.